GCGCGCGCCCCUCCGGGCCGCUUUGUUUUGGCUUCUGUGUGAGGAGAUGUUGGAGACUUCCGGGAGGCCCGCGCGUCUCAGGCCCUGGUGCUGGUGGCAGGACGCGGCCGGUGAGUCCCCUAUACUUUCACAGUUCUCUUCACUCUUCCAAGACUGGAAGAAAAUGAUCACAGCCCAGGU
Molecule: long non-coding RNA, 180 nt
Filed under: Dasypus novemcinctus (nine-banded armadillo)
Lineage: Eukaryota; Metazoa; Chordata; Mammalia; Cingulata; Dasypodidae
Description: lncRNA (ENSDNOG00000052638.1)
Source: RNAcentral